Long non-coding RNA from Heterocephalus glaber (naked mole-rat), 1075 nucleotides. RefSeq lists it as uncharacterized. The record is from RefSeq and is a predicted model, not a curated record. Lineage: Eukaryota; Metazoa; Chordata; Mammalia; Rodentia; Bathyergidae.
AUCUGGAUGUAAAGAGAUAAAAAUGGAAAUAAUUUAUCAAGAGGAAAACACAACGGAUUUUAGUUGGCCCAAAGCAGCAAGGGCCCAGUACUCUGUUUAUGGAUCUCCAACCUCCCCAGCUCCUUGUGUGCCUUCCGCUCUUUCUCUUCCUUGAAGGCAGAGCCUUGCCUGCUUAUCCUUGCGCCUCAGCCCCUGAUACACACAGACAUUGGCAUUUGGUAAAUGUGCACCCACUGCGGACAGAAACACAGAGUGAAUGGGGGUGACUUGCUCCUUGCUUGGUGGAAAAGUCUGUCCCCACAGCAGUGGGAAUGGAAUCCCUGCGAGAGACUGGAAGUCGGUCUCUGCAGAUUCCGAUCCCCAUGCCUGGGAUUUCCACCCAGCAGAUGCUUUUCACACUGUGAAACAUGCAGGCAUGUGGGCCGCCUGGUUCACGUGUCGGUGCUAUCCCCCCUCACUCCAUUUCCUGGGAAGGAGCAGAGCUGGGGGCGGGGGCUGUACUCCCCAAACAUGUUUUCCGUUUUGUGUUUCAGCCAACAAGUGAGAGGGCUCUCUCAUAGGCCACUUAACAUGUACUGCAGAUGUUUCCUUGGACAAGUGGAUCCCUCUUCCUCUGGGAGCCCAAAGCCUGAAUGAUCUGCAGACCUGAUAGAGCUGAGCUCAGGACAUCCAGCACCAAAGAUCCAGAGUCUUAUUUUGCAGUGUGACCUGAAGGUUAUAGAAAGAUGAAUUUUGAACUGCUUACAGCAAAAUUCAGUGGAAGAAUAAAGGAAUAACUCAAGGCUUUCAUCUGGUCUUGACUAAAAGAAAUUUUCCAUGUGGACGAUGAUCAUUUUGUUUUCGGUUGAGGAACUAACUCUUACUGAGGAUCCCUUAUACACCACCACUCGAAAUCCUCUCUACCCUCAUUUUCAUUGCUGCUGAUGGGCCUGAGUCUUCGGUUCCUGGAAGAGACAGUGCCGGACCAAAGCUGGAAGUUGGAAUCUCACUGGCUUCUUUCUGGAGUAAAAAUGGGAUAUUAUUACCUUCUGUCUCUUUCUGUUUUCCUUUGUCACUUUGUUCCAAAAAUGGUAAU